This 72-nucleotide transfer RNA is filed under the name Xestia c-nigrum granulovirus. It matches the Rfam family "tRNA". Rfam says of the family: Transfer RNA (tRNA) molecules are approximately 80 nucleotides in length. Their secondary structure includes four short double-helical elements and three loops (D, anti-codon, and T loops). Lineage: Naldaviricetes; Lefavirales; Baculoviridae. The record is from Rfam by way of RNAcentral.
UCCUCGGUAGUAUAGUGGUGAGUAUGUCCGCCUGUCACGCGGGAGACCAGGGUUCGAUUCCCUGCCGAGGAG